This 429-nucleotide ribosomal RNA is filed under the name Pseudomonadota bacterium. Its description in RNAcentral is "Proteobacteria bacterium partial 16S ribosomal RNA". It matches the Rfam family "Bacterial small subunit ribosomal RNA", at positions 355 to 776 of the family's 1533-position model. The record is from RNAcentral. Lineage: Bacteria; Pseudomonadati; Pseudomonadota.
UGGGGAAUAUUGGACAAUGGGCGAAAGCCUGAUCCAGCCAUGCCGCGUGUGUGAAGAAGGUCUUCGGAUUGUAAAGCACUUUAAGUUGGGAGGAAGGGCAGUAAGCGAAUACCUUGCUGUUUUGACGUUACCGACAGAAUAAGCACCGGCUAACUCUGUGCCAGCAGCCGCGGUAAUACAGAGGGUGCAAGCGUUAAUCGGAAUUACUGGGCGUAAAGCGCGCGUAGGUGGUUCGUUAAGUUGAAUGUGAAAGCCCCGGGCUCAACCUGGGAACUGCAUCCAAAACUGGCGAGCUAGAGUAGGGCAGAGGGUGGUGGAAUUUCCUGUGUAGCGGUGAAAUGCGUAGAUAUAGGAAGGAACACCAGUGGCGAAGGCGACCACCUGGGCUCAUACUGACAAUGAGGUGCGAAGGCGUGGGGAGCAAACAGG